GACGAACGCUGGCGGCGUGCUUAACACAUGCAAGUCGAACGGACAGACAGAGAGCUUGCUCUCUUGAAGUUAGUGGCGAACGGGUGAGUAACGCGUAAUCAACCUGCCCUUCAGAGGGGGAUAACAACGGGAAACCGUUGCUAAUACCGCGUACGAUUCAUGAACGGCAUCGUUUAUGAAUGAAAGGUGGCCUCUAUGUAUAAGCUAUCGCUGAAGGAGGGGAUUGCGUCUGAUUAGCUAGUUGGAGGGGUAACGGCCCACUAAGGCAAUGAUCAGUAGCCGGUCUGAGAGGAUGAACGGCCACAUUGGGACUGAGACACGGCCCAAACUCCUACGGGAGGCAGCAGUGGGGAAUCUUCCGCAAUGGACGAAAGUCUGACGGAGCAACGCCGCGUGAGUGAUGAAGGUCUUCGGAUUGUAAAGCUCUGUUAAUCGGGACGAAAGAGUUCUGCGUGAAUAGUGCAGAAAAGUGACGGUACCGGAAUAGAAAGCCACGGCUAACUACGUGCCAGCCGCCGCGGUAA
RNAcentral lists this ribosomal RNA (524 nucleotides) under uncultured bacterium. RNAcentral describes it as "partial 16S ribosomal RNA". It matches the Rfam family "Bacterial small subunit ribosomal RNA", at positions 28 to 523 of the family's 1533-position model. The record is from RNAcentral.